Molecule: long non-coding RNA, 6079 nt
Filed under: Sus scrofa (pig)
Lineage: Eukaryota; Metazoa; Chordata; Mammalia; Artiodactyla; Suidae
Description: lncRNA (ENSSSCG00060033568.1)
Source: RNAcentral
CACUGUACAGCGAGGGUGUCAGGUUAUCCUUACAUGUAUACAUUACAAUUACAUUUUUUCCCCCACCCUUUCUUCUGUUGCAACAUGAGUAUCUAGACAAAGUUCUCAAUGCUAUUCAGCAGGAUCUCCUUGUAAAGCUAUUCUAGGUUGUGUCUGAUAAGCCCAAGCUCCCGAUCCCUCCCACUCCCUCCCCCUCCCAUCAGGCAGCCACAAGUCUCUUCUCCAAGUCCAUGAUUUUCUUUUCUGAGGAGAUGCUCAUUUGUGCUGGAUAUUAGAUUCCAGUUAUAAGUGAUAUCAUAUGGUAUUUGUCUUUGUCUUUCUGAGACUUUAGUGGCUGAACCAGGGUUGCAGGGUGCUGCUUUUAUGACCAAAGGCAUAAUGAGCAGCUGAAUAUGAAGCAUCGUAGACUAAGGGCCUAUAUGAGCUCUGUGUGCAGCCAGCAACUGAUGCACUAAUGCUUUGCAGUCCAGAAGUCCAUGGACACUUUAUGUUCCAGAGGUCCAAAGGAAAUUUAUUGACAUCAUGGUUGAUUCAGUUACUCCAAGAGGUAUGAGAGGAGAUUCCUAAAGCUAAGGUGAAGGAGUGUCUAGAGGUAUUAAAGAGAGUGCCUACUGUAUUGUGAUUUGGAUGGAUUCUAAGGCCUUUUCUAGUAAAGUACUCCAAUCAAAGUGGAUGAUUAGCAAGUAGCUGCAUAAAUGGACUCUAGUAAAAUUUAUAAAUUGAGACAGUAUUAACCUUCAGAACAUAAAAAGGCCUAAAAUAUGUCCAGCUCAUGUUAACUUUGCUGGUGCUGAGCAGGUCAAUAUUUGUUUCUUGACAGAGUCAGCGACAGAGUAACCCUUGACUGAUCAAAUAAUUUUUAGGAAUUUAGCCUAAAUGGUGGGGCCUUGUACUAUGGGAGGGCCAAUGGCCCACCCCCUUUUGGUAAAGGUUCUUUGUGAGUUUUUGUAUACCCUGAAUGACUUUGUCCAGUGAAUCUCUUUGGAGAAUGUCAUUGAUAUGAUGUCAUACCUGUGCUCCUGGAGGAAGUUGAAUGAGGUUAAUUCUUUUCUAUGAAGAUUGUGUGAGAUGGCAGGGAAGUUGAGGUACCCCAGGGUAGUUAGGUAAAAGUGCAUUCUGUUUCUUUGAACUUAAAGCAAACUACAGCCAAGAGGUUGUUGAAACAGGCAAUGAACAGAACAUAUCAGCCAAAUCUGUAAUUAUAAAGUGUUCAUUAGUUUCUGAUUGGAAAGAGUCAGGAAUUUCAAUAGUAUUAAAAUAAGUGACUUAGUGGGGAACUCAUGAUCUAAAGAUUGCUGAAAUCUACAAGGAGGCUCCAUUCAUUUUUUUCCAAGUUUAAGAGCAGGCCUGGUUAUGCUGCUAAAUUGAGACAUGGUCAGGGGAAAUCAAUCCUGAUAAAAAUAAGUUUUGUAUAAUGGGUUUCAAUCCUUGAAGGCCAGUUUUGAUUUAUAUGAAUCAUGUUAGAUAUUUUAAUUGGAUGGAAACAGGGGGAAGUCCAUGGCAGAUCCCAUUUGUGUAGAGCUGAUUGUUAAGUGUCAAGACUUAACAAUUUAAAUGUAUUACUCAUGGGUCAGAAUGAUCAUGCCCACCAUGGGAUAUUUUAGGGCCAUAUGUACUAUGAUCACAGGGUUUUUUCGGCAAAGCAGUAGCUACUUUGUAGUAGUAGCAGUUAAGUAAGUAGUAGUAGUUAAGAUAAGACUUUUAUGUUUGGUAAUUUCUCAGAGAGAAUAGGGGGGUUACCUUAAUUAAAUAUGGUGAAAUCCUAGAUAUGAAUGUAGCUUGAAUCUCAAGAAUCAAUUAAAAUUGUUACAAAGAAUAUCAGUUUUUCCUCUGAGUACUCUGUCAAAUGGGGGCCUAUAUCUGGUUUAGACACAUAACCAGUAGUCACAGAGUGAGAGUUGUCUAGCAUCAGGCAUGGCUUACAUUGUAAUUGAGACAUAUGACUCAAUCUGUGACAUAAAGGUAAUCUGGGUCAUGACACUUGACUCAGGGCUACGUUAAGGAGGGCCAAGUCUCAUACUCUUUUCCUUAAUGGUCAGUUAUUGAAAUUUCCAACAUGGUUCAUUAAUCUAUAAGAGGCUCAAUAGGACUCAGAAAAUCGAGCACAGAGAGGCACAGCUAAAAGAGCAUGCUCAUCAGCAGGCAGCAAACCAAAGCAAAAGAACAAUGACAGCUAGUUAUAGUGAUUAUUGCCUUGACAAACUUCUUAUAGUGCCAGCUGUUGUAACCAACUCACAAAGAUGGGCUGGACACCCCACACAGCAUUUGUUUAAUGUAUUGAAACUAAUAAUGCCAAACACACACACAGACACACACACAUACACACACACACACCCCAAGAGGGUAUGAAAAUUUUUCUUACUUAUAUAGCAAGGCUUUCUGGGGUGAGAGCAUGAUAAUGUCCCAAGCUGGUCUAAAAGAAGAUUGGUUCUCCUUUAUGAUUAGGGAGUAGAGCUGGGUGAGGGUUCUUAUACAAAGGCCAGGGAUCACAUGCUUUGAACAUCCUAUCAGCACAAAAAGAGAGAGCACCCAGACUUCCUUUAUCAACCUCACCAAGUGCUUAGGAGAAGCAGUAGGAUUUGAAAGCUGUCAAGAACCAAACAUCAAAAAUGGAGUCAGUCUUUAUUACAACUCCAAACGGUCCCUGUGGUCUCUGAUUAUUAUUCAGAUUCCUUGUGAAAGGACAUUAUGGUAGUAUUAAAUACCUUUUGGGAAUAAGGUAGGUAAAGUGCAUGCCUAUAUAGCAUUAAUAGGAAUAUAUGACAAAGGCCCACAUUUAAAGUUGAGAAACUAUUACAAUGAAUGUGGGAAACAUUAAAUGAGACAGACUAAAUGAGAAUUGUAUGUAAAGGAGAAUGUAACAAUUUUGAUAAUAAUAUGAAAUGAUAUACACAUGUAAUUAAAGUUUCAAGUUCCUUUAUAAAGAAUUAUUUUAUGGUUGUAGCAAGCUGCAUAUGAUAUUACCUUUCAAUGGUCAUGUAAUCAGAUUUCAUUCUGAAUAGCCUAAUUUAUCUGCUUAAAUUAUCACACAUUAAAAUUGAAUUUAAAUAAUUUAGUAUUGAAUAUGUAUAAACAUUAAGAGAGAAAAGAGUAGCUAUUUAUUACACCGCCAAGAAAUUGAAGCCAGCUGAAAUUCUAAAAACCAAGCAAACUCUAAAAUGACCAAAAUGACAAUAUUAAAGAUAGGACUAGAAAUGUACUUUUUUAACCUAAGAUUUAGCUAUCAAUUUUACAUACAGCCUAUUAAUCCCCUCUAAACAUCUCAGAUAGACAUGGGUCAUGCUUUGCAUUAAUAGCUUAAAUAAUGUGAUCAUUCAUAACUGUCUUACCAGCUAAGUUAGGUGUUAAAUGCCAUUUAUAGUAAAUAAUAUUUUCUGAAAAAAAAAUGCAUUACAGAUUUCCCUUUUUAUUAAGAGGAAAAUAAGUACUUUAACCUAAAUGUCUGUAUGUCUGAGUCUUUGAGGACAGCAGAAAGAAAAACUCAUAUUCUGCAUAAAUUCUGUGAUGUGUCUUUGUAAUCACACCGAAUUCUAUAUAUGAUUUUAAAUAAUUACAAAUUUAUUAUUUGACUAUUUCAUUAAUUAUGAUUAUAUUAUUUUGACUGUAUUAAUUUCAAUUUCAAAAACAUUUUAGUAUAUGCUUUUGUAAAUGUUUUCUUUUUGCUUCUAAAGAGAAAAUUAUAAAGGUAAGAGUUAGAAAAUCUGUGAUGAAAAUUUGUAAGCUAUUUAUUGAAAUAGAGUCUUUUUUUUUGAGGGAAGCCUAGAUAUUGCAAUGCUAGAGAAGCUUCAGCGUAUAUUUAAAAAUUAAAUAUCCAAGGUAUCAUUUAAGACAGAUUUAUAAAGCUCUAAUUAAAUAACUUGCUUAGGAUUAAGAGCUAAUUAAUUGUAAAAUCAAACUUCAGCCCUCAAAGCAGUAAUUCUAAGAUGCCAUUGUAAUCAAGAGACUGAUGAAUACUAACCUUUGAAGAUAAAAGACACAAUAUCUACUAGAAAAAAGUAAACAGUUUAAUUAGAAAUGUGAAUUUUUCCAUGCAAUUGGUGACCAAUAUAAAAUAAUGAAAAAUAAGCUUUCAUAGAUAAAAGCCACAGUACAUUAAAUAUGGUCCGCACAAGAAAUACAUUGGACACAAAGCCUUAGGGCCAGUUUUAUCUCUAAAGAAAUAUCUUCGGAGUCCCCAUCAUGGCUCAGUGGUUAAUGAAUCCGACAGGAAUGAUGAGGUUCUGGGUUCCAUCCCUGGCCUUGUUCAGUGGGUUAAGGAUCUGGCAUUGCCGUGAGCUGUGGUGUAGGUCACAGACACAGCUCAGAUCCUGUGUUGCUGUGGCUCUGGCGUAGGCUGGCAGCUGCAGCUCCUAUUAGACCCCUAACCUGGGAACCUCCAUAUGCCCAGGUGUGGCCUUAGAAAAGACCAAAAAAAAAAAAAGAAAAAGUAAUAUCAUCAAUUUUGUGUCGUCAGAUUAUUUCACUGUGUUUUCUAAAGUUUAUAUGAAACAUUCUUUCUAAUAAAAUAAUAAAUAAGCACUAUUUUUCAUAUGAUUUCAUGUUUACUAUUUGUAUCAGGAGAACAGUUUUGGUUUCAGUUGACAAAAUAUGUGGCCAAUGGUGGCGUGAAAUAUAAGACAUUUAUUGCUAAAUUAACAAUUAUCAUUAAACUAGUAUUUAUCCAGCUGUUAAACAGUAUAUUUAAGGAAUUGAGAUCUUUCUAUAUUACUGCCCUACUGUCCUAAACAUGUUGAUUUGUCUUUCAGUUUUACAAAAUGAUAGCCACUGCUCCACAUGUACAUUAAAGGCAGUAUUAAAAGGAAAGGAGUAAUGCCAGCUAGAUUUUGAAAUGUUUUAUCAAUUAAGCAAAAGUUUUCUCAAAAUUCUAUGACCCGUUAGACUUCCUAUGAUAACUUAUUGGUUAUAUCCAGCACACAAGGCCAUCUUUAACUCUAGAAGGUGAGAAAGCCCCAAUAGUUGGAAGUAGCAAGAGAGAACUAGUUUGCAAAUUAAGUCGUGCUAUUUAACCCAUGGGAUCAGCCACCAGUUGUUUCAUAAGAAACUGUGAUAAGAAAGAACAUACCAAAUUCUGAGAAAGGAAUAUAUUUAAGUUAGUACAUUGGGAUUAUGUUUUUCAUAUAUACAUAACAUAUAUAUCUUAUGAAAAUUUUACUUAUGUGAAUCAUUGCUAAAAGUGAACAUGUGAAAAACAGAAAAAAUCCAGUUUCUGCACUGCAGGGCCAUACACCACUGCAUGGAAUAGCAACUCUAAUGAAGGUGCUGCCUCUGUGUAACUUUUCUUGAGUUAAAAGCCAAAACACUUUGACUUCAUUGUUCAGGCAAUAUGUCUAUUGGGUUUUGAGGUUUGAAAUUAUCAUUACUCUUCCUUUCAUAUAGAUUGUGAAUAAAGUGAGAAAUAGAUACAUUUCAAAUUAAGAUGGUUGUAUCAGCUUUGUGAAUGGUAAAUCUGGACUGAAUAAUAUAACCUUCGUCAGGAGCUGAAUUUUAGUCUUCCUCCUAUUUCCCCAAUUACAAUCUACUCGUGUUCAUGGAGGAUUUAAAUUUUAUUAAAACUCAGUGUAGUUAAGAGAGAAAGAGAGAAGGCUCAGGGAGAAAGGGUGACAGAGAGAGGGAGGGGGAACUCCCUGUCUUCAUUAAGAUAUUUGCUGUCGUGGAGGUUCUGAUGCAUGUGAAGAGAUCUUUCUUUGUUAUUUAAGCAAUUCCUCAGUAUGUGUUUUUGUUAAGAGCUUUUAUCCUACCACAAAUACCUACCCAGAUAUUUGCUUUCCAAAUAACCUUGUGUCUGAGUGUAGAGGUCCUACACUCCUCUAACCAUAAGCCUCUCUUCCAGGCACUGAAUUGGGAACUACAGAAACAUGAACUGUGUAACAUCCAUGAUUGCAGUGUCUGUGGCAACAGCAAAUCCUUUUUUUCUGGGAUAAGGAUGGCAGUGGUACCAGGAUAGGGAUUCAGUGUUGAGCAGCAAUGGUGACAGCAGUACCAGCAUUCAAAUAUAUUUUACAUGUAGAAAGAAUCAGUAUUCUCACUGAACUGACACCGUCGCAUCAUUUUGGAUAUGAUUCUGUUCACUAGUAAGUGG